RNAcentral lists this ribosomal RNA (253 nucleotides) under uncultured bacterium. RNAcentral describes it as "partial 16S ribosomal RNA". It matches the Rfam family "Bacterial small subunit ribosomal RNA", at positions 524 to 776 of the family's 1533-position model. The record is from RNAcentral.
UACAGAGGUGGCAAGCGUUGUUCGGAAUUACUGGGCGUAAAGGGCGCGUAGGCGGCCUUCUAAGUCAGACGUGAAAUCCCCCGGCUUAACCUGGGAACUGCGUCUGAUACUGGGAAGCUUGAGUAUGGGAGAGGGAUGUAGAAUUCCAGGUGUAGCGGUGAAAUGCGUAGAUAUCUGGAGGAAUACCGGUGGCGAAGGCGGCAUCCUGGACCAUUACUGACGCUGAGACGCGAAAGCGUGGGGAGCAAACAGG